ACUUUAACAAAUGCCAAUUAGGCAGGAACAAAACGAAUAAGACUACCCAAUUCGAAAGAAUAUGGUGCAAAGACAAAAAUACAGUCAAACAUGAAAAUGGGGAGCUUACAAUAAACAUAUAGGACUGGUAAACCUAAAUGCCACCACAGUAUGAAUAAACUUAUGAAAGUAAGUUGGGGUCACGUUACUGUCAAAAGUAACUAUAGUCGAAGUCGCAGACCACCUAUAAAGGUUCUCAAAAGUGUCGUGCACUGUCAAGUGACAAAGCUCUACAAAAAGUAGAGAUAUGGUUUUUUACUCAGUAUAGCCAUAAAAAGGAAGAGUCCGAGACUGUUCUUUUCAAUAUGAAAAGUUCGUGACUAAAUCAUUUUUAACCAUAACCCACCAAAAAAAAAAAAAAAAAAACAAUCAGAUACUGUUGUAGUCUUAACAGUAAACUAUGCCAACUAGGGAUCGGGUGAACUCAAUUUUAUGUGUUGCUCGGCACCUUACGAGAAAUCAAAGUCUUUGGGUUCUGGGGGGAGUAUGGUCGCAAGGCUGAAACUUGAAGGAAUUGACGGAAGGGCACCACCAGGAGUGGAGCCUGCAGCUUAAUUUGACUCAACACGGGGAAACUCACCAGGUCCAGACAUGACUAGGAUUGACAGAUUGAUAGCUCUUUCAUGAUUUUAUGGGUGGUGGUGCAUGGCCGUUCUUAGUUGGUGGAGUGAUUUGUCUGGUUAAUUCCGAUAACGAACGAGACCUUAUCCUGCUAAAUAGCCAGGCUGGCUUUUGCUGGUCACUGGCUUCUUAGAGGGACUGCGGUAGCAUCUAGCCCGCGGAAGUUUGAGGCAAUAACAGGUCUGUGAUGCCCUUAGAUGUUCUGGGCCGCAUGCGCGCUACACUGACAGAGCCAGCGAGUUAUUCACCUUGGCCGGAAGGUCUGGGUAAUCUUGUGAAACUCUGUUGUGCUGGGGAUAGAGCAUUGCAAUUAUUGCUCUUCAACGAGGAAUUCCUAGUAAGCGUGAGUCAUCAGCUCGCGUUGAUUACGUCCCUGCCCUUUGUACACACUGCCCGUCACUACUACCGAUUGAAUGGCUUGGUGAGAUCUUCGGAUUGGCUUUGGGGAGCCGGCAACAGCACCCUGUUGCUAAAAAGUCGAUCAAACUUGGUCAUUUAGAGGAAGUAAAAGUCGUAACAAGGUUUCCAUAGGUGAACCUGCGGAAG
Molecule: ribosomal RNA, 1206 nt
Filed under: Sarcodon sp. MG97
Lineage: Eukaryota; Fungi; Basidiomycota; Agaricomycetes; Thelephorales; Thelephoraceae
Description: SSU rRNA
Rfam family: Eukaryotic small subunit ribosomal RNA (bases 157-1206)
Source: RNAcentral